CGAGAAAGUCUACGGUUCGAGUCCGUAUAGCCCUAAGGGCUAUAGCUCAGUUAGGUAGAGCACCUCGUUUACAC
RNAcentral lists this transfer RNA (74 nucleotides) under Spinacia oleracea (spinach). RNAcentral's name for it is "transfer RNA-Val (UAC)". Lineage: Eukaryota; Viridiplantae; Streptophyta; Magnoliopsida; Caryophyllales; Amaranthaceae. The record is from RNAcentral.